Molecule: non-coding RNA, 395 nt
Organism: Chlorocebus sabaeus (green monkey)
Lineage: Eukaryota; Metazoa; Chordata; Mammalia; Primates; Cercopithecidae
Source: RefSeq, a predicted model, not a curated record
AGGCGCUUCCCUUCCUUGACUUUUUGGGUCUGGCUCCAGCUUUGAUUUGAGCCGGAGGCACCACAGAUAAUUACAAAGCCGUGUAAGGAGGGAGGCAGAGUGAGAUGGCUGAAUAGAAGCCUCCACUGACUGUCCCUGCAACAGGAACACCAAACAUAACAACAAUCCACACAAAAAAGCACCUUCAUAAGAACAGAAAAUCAGGAUGCGGCAUCUGAGAUGUUGAGAAGAAACACAGCCAGCAGGUGGAAGGCCUUCUCAUCUCUAGAACCAUGCUGCUCAAUAUGUAGGCAUCGGCAACAUGCAGGUAUUGAACAUUUGACAUAUGACAAGUUUGAACUGAGAUGUGCUGGAAGUACAAAAUACACACUGAAUUUGGAAGACUUAGUAUGAAA